GAAUGUUUUUUAAAAAAAAUCAAUGCUUUUGUAAUUAUACUUUACCACAGGCCUGGGAAACAUGCAGCCCUCACAAAGUUACACCUUGGCCCUUGACUGGCAGUACUGUGUUAUCAGUUAAUGCUCAGAACAUGACACCUGAAUCAUUUUUUUUAAUGUUACAGAUUACUGUAAAAGGAAGGAGUGCAUCAGGUUGAUUUGCCAUCAUUGGGGAAAAAAAAGAAGCAGGUAUCAAUGGGGAGACAAAGAGUACCAACUAGGAGCCGAAUCUUUGGAGGAUAAGACCACUGAGGAUCUGGUUACACCUAACGCUUGUGGCACCUUACAUGCUCUAAGAAAUGCACACAAACUGAAUAUGGCAAGGUUGGAGAGAAAGUACAUCAAGCAACAGGAAAAUUGAUGGGACAAGUGCCAGCUGUGGGCAAGACUUGCCUUAUACUAAGUCCCAAGGUCAGUCUUUCAGAGCUGUUAAAUAUAACCAACACCUGCCACAAACAAACAAUGGGCAAAUACAUAUGGGCCUGAUUCUGCGAACACAACUGGGCAUAGUGUUUACUCCCAUCAGUAGUCCCAUUGACUUACAGUGGUAAGUACUACAGUAGGUAUUGUUGGCAGGAUCUGGCCUGCAGUGCUCCAAUGAGCUAGUUAAUGAUUUCUGGAAAGUAAACAAGCUGUUCUGUCAACAGAGUAAUGAUUUCAAGGUGCUGUGCUAA
Malaclemys terrapin pileata is the source of this 713-nucleotide long non-coding RNA. RefSeq lists it as uncharacterized. The transcript is spliced from 3 exons. Lineage: Eukaryota; Metazoa; Chordata; Testudines; Emydidae. The record is from RefSeq and is a predicted model, not a curated record.